Molecule: non-coding RNA, 217 nt
Organism: Solanum lycopersicum (tomato)
Lineage: Eukaryota; Viridiplantae; Streptophyta; Magnoliopsida; Solanales; Solanaceae
Source: Rfam
ACGACCUUACUUGAACAGGAUCUGUUCUAUAGGCUCGUACCACCGUAUUCUUAAAUUCUAAGAAGACAGGAAUCCAAGUCUGGUUGAUGAAGCAUGGCCAUGUGACUAGAGCGUGAUUAACAGCCUUCCAUAGCUCCUUGAUGUGGAUGCCGUAGAUGAUCGUUCUUAGACCUGGAGAUCUUGGGUCUAAGUUGGUCUCAUGGCUGUCUGACAGACU